CGCGGACUCCGUGCGGCGUCAUCCUGUGAACUCCCCCAGGGCCGGAAGGCAGCAAGGGUAAGCGGGCUCUGGCGGGUGCACGGGGUCCCCUUUU
RNAcentral lists this signal recognition particle RNA (94 nucleotides) under Actinopolyspora erythraea. RNAcentral's name for it is "signal recognition particle sRNA small type". It matches the Rfam family "Bacterial small signal recognition particle RNA". Rfam says of the family: The signal recognition particle (SRP) is a universally conserved ribonucleoprotein involved in the co-translational targeting of proteins to membranes. Archaeal SRP consists of a 7S RNA and homologues of the eukaryotic SRP19 and SRP54 proteins. Lineage: Bacteria; Bacillati; Actinomycetota; Actinomycetes; Actinopolysporales; Actinopolysporaceae. The record is from RNAcentral.